AAGUCGUAACAAGGUUUCCGUAGGUGAACCUGCGGAAGGAUCAUUAACAAAUUCCAAAACACGUGUUGAUCAUCUGACCUUGAGUGUCGAGGCCGCAGUUCCGCUGUGUGUCUUGCCUCAGGGGAGGGUGAUCAAUUACAAACACACACUUUGAUAGACAAUACAAGGAGAUUAUCUAAUUAAUCGUUAAACAACUUUUAACAAUGGAUCUCUUGGCUCUU
RNAcentral lists this unclassified non-coding RNA (221 nucleotides) under fungal sp. RNAcentral describes it as "partial internal transcribed spacer region". The stretch from base 1 to 46 matches the Rfam family "Eukaryotic small subunit ribosomal RNA", at positions 1786 to 1831 of the family's 1831-position model. Lineage: Eukaryota; Fungi. The record is from RNAcentral.